AGUGAACGCUGGCGGCAUGCCUAAUACAUGCAAGUCGAACAGCCGUACAGUAAGCUUUCGCCUCUGAGGGUAGCGGCUGACGGACGGGUAACGCAUGGAUAACCUACCAAUUAGACUGGGAGAACUUCGUGAAACCACUGCUAAUACUAGAUCAUACUUUCAACGGCUUGAUUCAGGAGUUAAAGACACUCUUCCUGUCACUUAGAGACGGAGCCACGCUGCAUUAUCUAGUUGGUAAGGUAACGGCUUACCAAGGCAACGACCCAUAGCCGAGCUGAUAGGGUGAUCGGCCACACUGGAACUGAGACACGGUCCAGACUCCUACGGGAGGCAGCAGUAGGGAAUCUUGCACAAUGGUCACAAGCCUUACGCACCCAUGCCCCGUGAGUGAUGAAGGCCUUCGGAUCGUAAAACCCUGUUAUUAGGGAAGAAAAUCUGUAUAAGUAAAUGUCGCCAUUCUAACGGUACCCAAUCAGAAAGCACCGGCUAACUUCGUG
Molecule: ribosomal RNA, 497 nt
Filed under: uncultured bacterium
Lineage: Bacteria
Description: partial 16S ribosomal RNA
Rfam family: Bacterial small subunit ribosomal RNA
Source: RNAcentral